GGAUUGACACAUCGGUCGUGCCUUAAGGGGUAUGAACUGGUGUAGUCAAUUUCUCACCUUCUGGAGAACCGCGAUGUCCUUAAUUGGGUGCCGCGGGGAACCAGGACCUUUACUUUGAAAAAAUUAGAGUGUUUAAAGCAGACUAUUGUCUGAAUACAUUAGCAUGGAAUAAUGAAAUAGGACGGACUGAUUCUAUUUCGUUGGUUUCUAGGAUCACCGUAAUGAUUAAUAGGGAUAGUUGGG
RNAcentral lists this ribosomal RNA (243 nucleotides) under Entrophospora sp. RNAcentral describes it as "partial small subunit ribosomal RNA". It matches the Rfam family "Eukaryotic small subunit ribosomal RNA", at positions 665 to 886 of the family's 1831-position model. Lineage: Eukaryota; Fungi; Glomeromycota; Glomeromycetes; Entrophosporales; Entrophosporaceae. The record is from RNAcentral.